UGAGGAAUAUUGGGCAAUGCCCGAAAGGGUGACCCAGCAACGCCGCGUGAAGGAUGGAGGCCGUAAGGUUGUAAACUUCUUUUGUAUGGGACGAAAAAGCUUGUUGAUAGCAAGCAUUGACGGUACCUUAAGAAAAAGCCCCGGCUAACUACGUGCCAGCAGCCGCGGUAAUACGUAGGGGGCAAGCGUUGUCAGGAUUUACUGGGUGUAAAGGGCGCGUAGGCGGGUUUGUAAGUCAGCGGUGAAAUCCUAGAGCUUAACGAUAGAACUGCCGUUGAUACUGCAAG
RNAcentral lists this ribosomal RNA (287 nucleotides) under uncultured prokaryote. RNAcentral's name for it is "partial 16S ribosomal RNA". It matches the Rfam family "Bacterial small subunit ribosomal RNA", at positions 355 to 639 of the family's 1533-position model. The record is from RNAcentral.